GAUGAACGCUAGCUACAGGCUUAACACAUGCAAGUCGAGGGGCAGCGCAGUGUAGCAAUACAUGGGCGGCGACCGGCGCACGGGUGCGUAACGCGUAUCCAACCUUCCCGUUACUUAGGGAUAGCCUUCCGAAAGGGAGAUUAAUACCUGAUGGUGUUUGAAUUCCGCAUGUUAUUCAAACUAAAGAUUUAUCGGUAACGGAUGGGGAUGCGUGACAUUAGAUAGUAGGCGGGGUAACGGCCCACCUAGUCUACGAUGUCUAGGGGUUCUGAGAGGAAGGUCCCCCACACUGGAACUGAGACACGGUCCAGACUCCUACGGGAGGCAGCAGUGAGGAAUAUUGGUCAAUGGUCGGAAGACUGAACCAGCCAAGUAGCGUGAAGGAUGAAGGUUCUAUGGAUUGUAAAACUUCUUUUAUACGGGAAUAAAAACCCACCUACGUGUAGGUGCUUUGUAUGUACCGUAUGAAUAAGCAUCGGCUAACUCCGUGC
This 491-nucleotide ribosomal RNA is filed under the name uncultured bacterium. Its description in RNAcentral is "bacterial SSU rRNA". It matches the Rfam family "Bacterial small subunit ribosomal RNA", at positions 28 to 508 of the family's 1533-position model. The record is from RNAcentral.